This is an RNA transcript of Pyrus x bretschneideri (Chinese white pear), 995 nucleotides long. It is a transcript of the gene named RNA polymerase II subunit A C-terminal domain phosphatase SSU72-like, with no coding region annotated. NCBI's taxonomy places the organism in Eukaryota, Viridiplantae, Streptophyta, Magnoliopsida, Rosales, Rosaceae. The transcript is spliced from 5 exons. The record is from RefSeq and is a predicted model, not a curated record.
GCGGCAGGGCUUCGACGUCGCGUCGUACGGCACCGGAGCCCACGUCAAGCUCCCUGGUCCCUCCCUCAGAGAACCCAAUGUUUACGACUUUGGCACACCUUACAAGCAGAUGUUCGACGAUCUCCGGCGAAAAGACCCCGAACUGUAUCCUCCUCCUCUAAACUUGUUCUUCUCUCGAUUUUGUUCAAUUGGGGUUUUCAAAUUAUGUAUCUUUCUUGUUUCAAUUGGGUUUUUCGAAUUCUGGGUUUUGGGGAAUAUGAUAUUUUGGUGAUGAAAUAGAUUCGUAUAAAUAUCCAGAAAAUAGUACGAACAAAAAGUUUUGGUAGGAGCAAAUUGGUUAACAGGAAAGAAAAAGGACUUUAAGACUGUUGAUAUAUGCAACUGAGAUUGUAGGUUCAAAGCUUCAAUAUUUGGAAAUUAAGUGGGCAGUCUGAUAGAUUUUGUGUAUGAACUUACCCUUGAGGCUUUUAAGAGUAAAUUCGAUAUUUGUGGUUCGAGGUGUUUAGCGAAGAGUAUAGAAUAGUUGAUGACGACGACUAUUGAUUGGUAGCUCUGUGUAGCAAUGCUCGAGUAUUGUGGGAUGUAUGAAUUGGAAUUUAUGUGCGUACAAGCGUAAUGGCAUCUUGCCUAUGCUUAAAAGAAACUUGGGAGUUAAACUGGCACCUCAGCGAUGGCAGGACAAUGCUGCCGACGGUUCCUUUGAUGUGGUGUUAACAUUCGAAGAAAAGGUUUUUGACAUGGUUAUUGAAGUGUUGUUUCUUGGCAAUCUCUUUCUGUUGAGCUGUUGGAAUAUGACUUGCUGGUAGAGUUUGAGCUCUUAAGUUAUAGAUCUCAACAACCGGGACCAUGCUCUUAGGAAAUGUGUGCUGAUAAUCAACUUGGAGGUGAAAGAUAACCACGAGGAGGCGGCUGUAGGAGCUCGUCUUGCUUUAGAUCUUUGCCAAGAGAUUGAAGCAGCCGAUUCGUGGGAGGAAUCAAUUGAUGAUAUUGUAUCU